CACCACUCAAGCCUGGCUUGGUAUUGGGCGUCGCGGGUCCCCGCGCGCCUCAAAGUCUCCGGCUGAGCUGUCCGUCUCCUAGCGUUGUGAUACAUAUUCGCUACGGGUGUCGGGCGGCCGCGGCCGUUAAACUCUUUCAAA
Molecule: unclassified non-coding RNA, 141 nt
Filed under: uncultured Mycosphaerella
Lineage: Eukaryota; Fungi; Ascomycota; Dothideomycetes; Mycosphaerellales; Mycosphaerellaceae
Description: sequence contains ITS2
Source: RNAcentral